Molecule: long non-coding RNA, 697 nt
Filed under: Mus musculus (house mouse)
Lineage: Eukaryota; Metazoa; Chordata; Mammalia; Rodentia; Muridae
Description: predicted gene, 45928, transcript variant 2 (Gm45928)
Source: RNAcentral
CUCCCACUCCGCCAGCCUCUGGGAGAGGAGCCGCGCCCGGCCGGCCCGGCCCCCAGCCCCAUGGACCUCCGAGCAGGGGAAGACACCCAGUCCCUCAGCCAGGAGGAAACAGAGCUGGAGCUGCUGAGGCAGUUUGACCUGGCCUGGCAGUAUGGGCCUUGUACAGGUAUCACAAGGCUGCAGCGCUGGAGUCGGGCAGAGCAGAUGGGCUUGAAGCCCCCCCUAGAGGUGUACCAAGUGUUGAAGGCACACCCUGAAGACCCUCACUUCCAAUGCAGCCUGUGGCAUCUCUACCCACUCUGAGGUACCCCCACGUUGUCCUUCUCUGGGCACCUCCUAGCCACCAAGAACUUCAGGACAGACAUCAUGGCCUGCUCUGCUCAUUCCAACCUUGGAGAAACAGCAGGCUGACUGUGGAGGUCUUCCUGGUUCAGCUUCUUCUCCAUCUAAACAGCAGGCUGCUGAAGCUCCUGGGACCUGUGAAGCUGAGCACCUCCACGCCCUAAUCAUGACCACCAGAUGCCCACCCGCCACACCCCUGACCUACGGUGUGGCAAAUCCAGCACAGGCUGGCAUAAACCAGAUGUCGGCAGAUAACCUAAAGGGCCCACCUUGGGCAUCUAGCUGAGGGCACAGAUGAGUGAGUUAUUGGAUCAAGGAGCUCACUAAUGCUUACAAUAAAGUACAUUAAGCCUGA